RNAcentral lists this ribosomal RNA (301 nucleotides) under uncultured bacterium. Its description in RNAcentral is "partial 16S ribosomal RNA". It matches the Rfam family "Bacterial small subunit ribosomal RNA", at positions 509 to 807 of the family's 1533-position model. The record is from RNAcentral.
CAGUCGCCACGGGAAUACAGAGGGUGCGAGCGUUAAUCGGAUUUACUGGGCGUAAAGCGUGCGUAGGCGGCUUCUUAAGUCGGAUGUGAAAUCCCUGAGCUUAACUUAGGAAUUGCAUUCGAUACUGGGAAGCUAGAGUAUGGGAGAGGAUGGUAGAAUUCCAGGUGUAGCGGUGAAAUGCGUAGAGAUCUGGAGGAAUACCGAUGGCGAAGGCAGCCAUCUGGCCUAAUACUGAUGCUGAGGUACGAAAGCAUGGGGAGCAAACAGGAUUAGAUACCCCCGUAGUCCCUGUCUCUUAUAC